CAGCCGCCGCGGUAAUACGUAGGGUGCGAGCGUUAAUCGGAAUUACUGGGCGUAAAGGGAGCGUAGGCGGGUCGUUUAGUCAGAGGUGAAAUCCCGGGGCUCAACCUCGGAACUGCCUUUGAUACUGGCGACCUUGAGUAUGGGAGAGGUAAGCGGAACUCCGAGUGUAGAGGUGAAAUUCGUAGAUAUUCGGAAGAACACCAGUGGCGAAGGCGGCUUACUGGCCCAUUACUGACGCUGAGGCUCGAAAGCGUGGGGAGCGAACAGGAUUAGAUACCCCGGUAGUCCCUGUCUCUUAUAC
This 301-nucleotide ribosomal RNA is filed under the name uncultured bacterium. RNAcentral's name for it is "partial 16S ribosomal RNA". It matches the Rfam family "Bacterial small subunit ribosomal RNA", at positions 509 to 807 of the family's 1533-position model. The record is from RNAcentral.